This is a long non-coding RNA of Oryzias melastigma (Indian medaka), 1123 nucleotides long. RefSeq lists it as uncharacterized. The record is from RefSeq and is a predicted model, not a curated record. The transcript is spliced from 2 exons. Lineage: Eukaryota; Metazoa; Chordata; Actinopteri; Beloniformes; Adrianichthyidae.
AAGCUUUUUGGACCUCAUCCAUAAACGCUACAUUUGGAGAGAAGUCAACAAUUCUUAUGAUGAAAAUAGCACAAUUCCUACUGUGAAACACAUUGGCAGAUCGCUGAUAUGUAAGCUGCAAAGACACAGGAAAUUUGGCCAGAAUAGAUGACAUGAUGCAUUGUUGGGAUCCUUCUGUCUCGGAAUCUGCGCCACGGUUUGGUCUGUUUUAGAGUUACAGUGUCUGCUGUGGCUGAACAGGCCAAUUCUGGAUCUGCUGCACUUCAGAUGAAGGUUGCGUCUGGCUCUGUGGAGGCUGCUAAUGCUGCUUUCGGCAGAUUCUUUUGACUUUCCACUUUUCCUCUCUCUUCUCCUCACUUUUCCAGACGACCUCUUUUAUGGUCCUUCUCCAGCAGAUACUGACCUCAGCUAUCUGUUCCCAUCCUGCUGGGUCAACAUCACCUGCCCUCAUGUCACGUUUUCCUCAUGUCCUUAAAGUGUACGACAGGUCUGGAGCUGGUGGUGAGCCUGCCGUACAGUAUGUCCUUGGGAAUCCUUCCAUCGUUCAUCCGUCUGACAUGGCCAAGCCACCGGAGGCGCCGCUGGGUGAGCAAAGCGAACAUACUUGGUAUAUUUGCCCGUUUAAGGACAAACUGGCUGGAGAUGUUGUCCUGCCAGAUAAUUCCCAGGAUUUUUCCUGCAUAAUGAAUGCUGCACAUUGUAAGAAGAUGCUGGAGGAAAACGUGUACCCUUCAGCUUGGACGUGCAUGGGAUUCACUGGGACAUUUCAUCAGAAUAAGGUGAAGGUUCUUUAGUGGCCGUCUCAGACUCCUGACUUCAGUAUUUAUGAGCCACAAUGGGGAGAUUUCAAACGGAGUAUAUAAAGAACUUCAUCCACAAUGAGCACAAGAGACUUCAGGCUCAUUGGUGCAAAAGGUGGCAAUACAAGGUAAUAACAACUGGGUAUGUAAACUUUUGAUUUGUGUAUUUUGGUUUCUGUUGUCAGUGUGAUUUAAAAAGUGUUAACACUGUUGUUUGACAAUAAGUGGCUUGAUCUUAUCACUAAGCAUUAAUUGAAAAUUAAUAAUCUCUUCUUUUAUGUUAAACUUUAUUGUCCUUGCAGUUCAAUAAAAAAUUACAGAAA